AUGGUGCCAUGGAGCUACCUCGCUAGGAAUGAGGAUGGAAAAAAAGAAAAUAACAAAGUUUUGCUUGGACUAUAUGCAAAUGAUGUUCUUUGCAGGGUUGCAUUUGGGAGGGAUUUCUCAGCAGGAGGAGAAUAUGAUAGCCAUGGUUUCCAAAAGAUGCUUGAGGAGUAUCAAGUAUUGCUUGGAGGAUUUAGCAUAGGAGAUUUCUUCCCUUCCAUGGAGUUCAUACACAGCUUAACAGGCAUGAAAUCAAGACUGCAGAAUACUUUUCAACGCUUUGAUAAACUCUUUGAUCGGUUGCUGACUGAGCAUGAAAAUCCCAAAAGAGAAAAAGAGGAGCAUAAGGAUCUUGUGGAUGUUUUACUUGAUAUACAGAGGAAUGGCUAUGAUGAAAUGCCACUCACCACAGAUAAUAUUAAAGCUAUCAUCUUGGAUAUGUUUGCUGGAGGAACUGAUACAACUUUCAUCACCCUUGACUUGGGAAUGACAGAACUUAUCAUGAACCCCAAAGUCAUGGAAAAAGCACAAGCUGAAAUAAGGAGAAUAGUUGGAGACAGAAGAGUUGUUUUGGAGGGUGAUCUGCCUCAGCUGCACUACAUGAAAGCUGUAAUUAAAGAGAUCUAUCGGUUACAUCCUCCUGCUCCAGUAUUGCUCCCGAGAGAAUUCAUGGAAGAAGUGAACAUUGAUGGGUACAAUAUUCCAGCCAAAACUCGUUUUUUUGUAAAUGCUUGGGCAAUAGGGAGAGACCCAGAAUCUUGGGAAAAUCCAGAUGUUUUUGAACCAGAAAGAUUUAUGGGUAGCCGUAGCACUGUUGAUUUCAAGGGACAGCAUUUUGAGCUGAUACCUUUUGGUGCUGGUAGAAGAAGCUGCCCAGCUAUCACAUUUGAACAGCGAGUAUUGAGCUUGCUUUGGCUCAACUUCUCCACAGCUUUGAUUGGGAGCUUCCCCCUGGUGUUACAGCUAAAGAUUUAGACAUGACAGAGGCUUUUGGCAUCACAAUGCACAGGAUAGCUAAUCUGAUUGUCAUUGCCAAACCACAUUUUCCCUUGGACCAUAAUGAUAAUCCAAAGAUUUAGUCAUCCUCCUGGGCCCUGGCACAAGGUACAAUGGAAUAAAAAUAUCUAAUGUUUUAAUCU
Molecule: RNA transcript, 1136 nt
Organism: Quercus lobata
Lineage: Eukaryota; Viridiplantae; Streptophyta; Magnoliopsida; Fagales; Fagaceae
Gene name: cytochrome P450 71A1-like
Exons: 3
Source: RefSeq, a predicted model, not a curated record